AUCUUAGUGAGAUAGCUCAGUUGGUAGAGCAUGAGACUCUUAACCUUAGGGCUGUGUGUCUGAACCCCACACUGGACA
Molecule: non-coding RNA, 78 nt
Organism: Podarcis lilfordi (Lilford's wall lizard)
Lineage: Eukaryota; Metazoa; Chordata; Lepidosauria; Squamata; Lacertidae
Source: the annotation of a GenBank genome assembly